This 744-nucleotide ribosomal RNA is filed under the name uncultured bacterium. Its description in RNAcentral is "bacterial SSU rRNA". It matches the Rfam family "Bacterial small subunit ribosomal RNA", at positions 8 to 796 of the family's 1533-position model. The record is from RNAcentral.
AGAGUUUGAUCCUGGCUCAGAGCGAACGCUGGCGGCAGGCUUAACACAUGCAAGUCGAGCGGGCGUAGCAAUACGUCAGCGGCAGACGGGUGAGUAACGCGUGGGAACGUACCUUUUGGUUCGGAACAACACAGGGAAACUUGUGCUAAUACCGGAUAAGCCCUUACGGGGAAAGAUUUAUCGCCGAAAGAUCGGCCCGCGUCUGAUUAGCUAGUUGGUGAGGUAAUGGCUCACCAAGGCGACGAUCAGUAGCUGGUCUGAGAGGAUGAUCAGCCACAUUGGGACUGAGACACGGCCCAAACUCCUACGGGAGGCAGCAGUGGGGAAUAUUGGACAAUGGGCGCAAGCCUGAUCCAGCCAUGCCGCGUGAGUGAUGAAGGCCCUAGGGUUGUAAAGCUCUUUUGUGCGGGAAGAUAAUGACGGUACCGCAAGAAUAAGCCCCGGCUAACUUCGUGCCAGCAGCCGCGGUAAUACGAAGGGGGCUAGCGUUGCUCGGAAUCACUGGGCGUAAAGGGUGCGUAGGCGGGUCUUUAAGUCAGGGGUGAAAUCCUGGAGCUCAACUCCAGAACUGCCUUUGAUACUGAAGAUCUUGAGUUCGGGAGAGGUGAGUGGAACUGCGAGUGUAGAGGUGAAAUUCGUAGAUAUUCGCAAGAACACCAGUGGCGAAGGCGGCUCACUGGCCCGAUACUGACGCUGAGGCACGAAAGCGUGGGGAGCAAACAGGAUUAGAUACCCUGGUAGUCC